RNAcentral lists this ribosomal RNA (404 nucleotides) under uncultured Eubacteriales bacterium. RNAcentral's name for it is "bacterial SSU rRNA". It matches the Rfam family "Bacterial small subunit ribosomal RNA", at positions 355 to 774 of the family's 1533-position model. Lineage: Bacteria; Bacillati; Bacillota; Clostridia; Eubacteriales. The record is from RNAcentral.
UGGGGAAUAUUGCACAAUGGGCGAAAGCCUGAUGCAGCAACGCCGCGUGAGCGAUGAAGGCCUUUGGGUCGUAAAGCUCUGUCCUUGGGGAAGAAAAAAAUGACGGUACCCUUGGAGGAAGCCCCGGCUAACUACGUGCCAGCAGCCGCGGUAAUACGUAGGGGGCAAGCGUUAUCCGGAAUUAUUGGGCGUAAAGAGUGCGUAGGUGGUCAUGUAAGCGCGGGGUGAAAGGCAAUAGCUCAACUAUUGUAAGCCUUGCGAACUGCAUGACUUGAGUGCAGGAGAGGAAAGUGGAAUUCCUAGUGUAGCGGUGAAAUGCGUAGAUAUUAGGAGGAACACCAGUGGCGAAGGCGACUUUCUGGACUGUAACUGACACUGAGGCACGAAAGCGUGGGGAGCAAACA